Molecule: ribosomal RNA, 439 nt
Filed under: uncultured bacterium
Lineage: Bacteria
Description: partial 16S ribosomal RNA
Rfam family: Bacterial small subunit ribosomal RNA
Source: RNAcentral
CCUACGGGAGGCAGCAGUGGGGGAUAUUGCACAAUGGGGAAACCCUGAUGCAGCGACGCUGCGUGAGAGAAGGAGUAUUUCGGGAGGUAAAGCUCUAUCAGCAGGGAAGAAAAUGACAGUACCUGACCAAGAAGCGCCGGCAAGCUACGAGCCAGCAGCCGCCGUAAUACGUCGGGGGCCAGCGUUAUCCGGAUGUACUGGGUGGAAAGGGGGCGUAGACGGGUUUUUAAGUCUGGAGUGAAAGCCCGGGGCCCAACCCCGGGAUUGCUUUGGAAACUGGGUAACUGGAGUACAGUAGGGGCAGGCGGAAUUCCUGGUGUAGCGGUGAAAUGCGUAGAUAUCAGGAGGAACACCGGCGGCGAAGGCGGCCUGCUAGACUGAAACUGACGUUGAGGCUCGAAAGCGUGGGGAGCAAACAGGAUUAGAUACCCCAGUAGUC